GAUGAACGCUGGCGGCGUGCUUAACACAUGCAAGUCGAACGGGAUCGGCUGGAGCUUGCUCCGGCCGUGAGAGUGGCGAACGGGUGAGUAAUGCGUGACCGACCUGCCCCAUACACCGGAAUAGCUCCUGGAAACGGGUGGUAAUGCCGGAUGCUCCGACAUGACGCAUGUCGUGUUGGGAAAGAUUCAUCGGUAUGGGAUGGGGUCGCGUCCUAUCAGGUAGUCGGCGGGGUAACGGCCCACCGAGCCUACGACGGGUAGCCGGCCUGAGAGGGCGACCGGCCACAUUGGGACUGAGAUACGGCCCAGACUCCUACGGGAGGCAGCAGUGGGGAAUAUUGCACAAUGGGCGCAAGCCUGAUGCAGCGACGCCGCGUGCGGGAUGACGGCCUUCGGGUUGUAAACCGCUUUUGACUGGGAGCAAGCCCUUCGGGGUGAGUGUACCUUUCGAAUAAGCAC
Molecule: ribosomal RNA, 459 nt
Filed under: uncultured bacterium
Lineage: Bacteria
Description: bacterial SSU rRNA
Rfam family: Bacterial small subunit ribosomal RNA
Source: RNAcentral